Molecule: transfer RNA, 72 nt
Filed under: Camelus bactrianus (Bactrian camel)
Lineage: Eukaryota; Metazoa; Chordata; Mammalia; Artiodactyla; Camelidae
Also listed under: 1 other name
Rfam family: tRNA
About the family: Transfer RNA (tRNA) molecules are approximately 80 nucleotides in length. Their secondary structure includes four short double-helical elements and three loops (D, anti-codon, and T loops).
Source: Rfam by way of RNAcentral
GAGGGUAUAGUUUAGUGGAGGAGUGCAUGCUUAGCAUGCACGAGAUCCUGGGUUCAAUCUCCAGUGCCUCCA